Small nucleolar RNA from Macaca fascicularis (crab-eating macaque), 192 nucleotides. Its record names the gene U3. It matches the Rfam family "Small nucleolar RNA U3". From Rfam's summary of the family: Small nucleolar RNAs (snoRNAs) are involved in the processing and modification of rRNA in the nucleolus. Lineage: Eukaryota; Metazoa; Chordata; Mammalia; Primates; Cercopithecidae. The record is from Ensembl.
AAGACCAUACUUUCAGGGAUCAUUUCCAUAGUUCAUUACCAAAGAACUUUCUCUGAACAUGUAGGGCACUGGAAACCACGAGGAGUCAGCACAGCCUUCUUUCCUGAGCUGGCCUUUCCCUCUGCAGGGGCCACUCUGCCACAGGGGCCAACCAAAGUCAGCCUUGGCUGAUGCUAGAGACCAUAAAGUGGU